RNAcentral lists this long non-coding RNA (756 nucleotides) under Homo sapiens (human). Its description in RNAcentral is "long intergenic non-protein coding RNA 2793". Lineage: Eukaryota; Metazoa; Chordata; Mammalia; Primates; Hominidae. The record is from RNAcentral.
AGGUAAGUGCUUGUGGAGAUGAGAGAACUGCAACAUUGCCUGUUGUCCUGCAGGCAGUAGUCCCGCAGCAAGCCAGCAUGCUUUCCUGGGGACAUGAUACCUGAGCUGGGCGUUUAAGGAUGCACUGGAGUUGUCCAGGUGGUGAAUAAGAGAAUGCACUCCAGGCAGAAGGAAGAGCAGGUGCAAAGGCUUAGAGACACGAAAGAGGGUGUUGUAUUUAAGGAAUGCCGGAAAGCAAUGAAGAUUCUAGAGGCACCUGCAUUCCUUGGCUUGUGGCCUCUUCCUCCAUCUCAAAGUGCAUCGCUCCAAUUUCUGCUUCUGUCAUCACAUCGCCUUUUCCUCCAGCUCCGACUCCUCCUGCAUCCAUCUGAAAAGGAUAAUCCAGGAUAUUCUCCCUAUCUCAAGAUCCUUCAUCACAUCUGCAAAGUCUCAGGUAUGGGUGGGGCUGAGGAUAUAAUCAGUUCUGGGCAAAAUUCCUCUGGAUGUGCAGAUUUGUGAAACUAGAAAACAAGCUUUCUGCUCCCAAAAUACAGUGGUGGGACAGCAUAAGACAACAGUUAUAGACAUUUCCAUUCAAAUAGGGAGAAAAUGGAAGGAAAAAAGGAGUCACCAGUCCCAAGCAAUUUCAAAAUCCAAUCAGACAAACUCCAUCAGGUUUCAAGGCCUGGGAAAAAUCCUCUGCCCUCUGUAUGCAAAACAGCAACAACAGCAGCAACUUUGGACCUUACCUCACACCAUCUAUAAAAAUGAACUCAA